Long non-coding RNA from Dreissena polymorpha, 2044 nucleotides. RefSeq lists it as uncharacterized. NCBI's taxonomy places the organism in Eukaryota, Metazoa, Mollusca, Bivalvia, Myida, Dreissenidae. The record is from RefSeq and is a predicted model, not a curated record. The transcript has 3 exons.
UACACACUUAAUAUUUAACUACAGUCCAGGUUUGCAAUUAACAAACUAUCUGAAAAGCCUGUGUGUGAGUCAGAUGUGUCUGCGGCUAAUCUAUUGGUUAUAAAAUAUCACAGCCUUUUCUGAUUGGCUGAGUUCAAAUACAGAAAGUUUACCUGUUAGAUUGAAUUUCUGGAGAAGGCGUAUUGAAGAAAAAAUGCAGCUUAAACUUGUUGUUAAAAUGAAGUUAAUGUAAUUUCACAAACAGUAGAGUUAAUGAGUUUUUCCAUUAACAAGAAUUUCUUAAAAUAAUAAUGUAUGGAUAUCAUUUGGAAAGUGACAUGAAAUGUUGUUAAAAAGUGAUGCAUACAAGUGUUUCAGAAGUCUGUCUAGGAAUAGAACAACAACUGAAGCUGACCAGUUGAUGGAAGAUACUGCAGAGUUUGGCAGGGAAAUAACCCAAGACAGCAAAGCGGCUCUUUUGGCGCAUUUACCAAGAGGACUAACAUGGCCACAAAUUCAUGAGAUCAUGCAGGAGCCCUACAGUAUAACAGCAGUACAAGUUCUAUAAAAGAUCCACGACCUACUGAAGCCCAGCUAAUUAACAAAAAAGUUUUUAAAAACUGUAAUUUUAUCCCACCUGGGUACUUAUAAUUUACUAAGCUGCCUACACAAGUUUUAGAUUUGCAAUUAUAUUUUAAAUUGUCACUUGGAAAGUAAUACAUGUACAUCUAUUAUGUUCUGAAUUUCUUUGAACAAUAAAAUUAUAUAAAAGUAUUUUAAUGAAAUUAAGCACCUAAAUUGCAUUAAAGUGAAAGUAGCUGAGAACAAGAUGUGUUUGUGAAACACAAUGUCCCCCUAUAUGACGUUUGACCUUGAAGGAUGACCUUGACCUUGACCCUUCACUACUCAAAAUGUGCAGCUCCAUGAGAUACACAUGCAUGUCAAAUAUAAAAUUGCUAGCUUCAAUAUUGCAGAAGUUGCAUUACAUGAGCAAUUUUGACCCAUAUAUUUGACUUGGAAGGAUGACCUUGACCUUGACCUUUCACCACUCAAAAUGUGCAGCUCCAUAAGUUACACAUGCAUGCCAAAUAUCAAGUUGCUAUCUUCAAUAUUGCAAAAGUUUUCAUAAAAUUAGCGAUUUGGGCCACAUAUAUUUGACCUCUGACCUUGAAGGAUGACCUUGACCUUUCACCACUCAAAAUGUGCAGCUCUAUAAGUUACACAUGCAUGCCAAAUAUCAAGUUGCUAUCUUUAAUAUUGCAAAAGUAUUCAUAAAAUAAGCGAUUUGGGCCACAUAUAUUUGACCUCUGACCUUGAAGUAUGACCUUGACCUUUCACCACUCAAAAUGUGCAGCUCCAUGAGAUACACAUGCAAGCCAAAUAUCAAGUUGCUAUCUUCAAUAUUGCAAAAGUAUUCAUAAAAUGAGCGAUUUUGGCCACAUAUAUUUGACCUCUGACCUUGAAGGAUGACCUUGACCUUUCACCACUCAAAAUGUGCAGCUCCAUGAGAUACACAUGCAUGCCAAAUAUCAAGUUGCUAUCUUCAAUAUAGCAAAAGUUAUUUCAAAAUGUUAAAGUUGGUGCAAACCAACCAACCAACCAACAGACCAACCAACCAACAGACUAACCAACAGACAGGGCAAAAACAAUAUGUCCCCCACUACUAUAGUGGGGGACAUAAAAAUAUUAUCCUUGUGCUCAUGUUCAGCUACAUAUAUUGUGACAUACAUGAAGCAGCUAAAAAUAACUUAAAUUUUUCAUUUUGUUUCUUGUAUAUCGUUUGUACAGGGUUCGUGAAUUGUUACUGUAUAUUACUUGACUUGCUUGUAUUUUGUUACUUUGAAUACAUGUUGUGAAGGUUGCAUUAUACUUUUUAACUUUUAAAGGAGCGCUUGUUCUGUUAUGUAAGGGCCUGAUUUAUGAUUAUGGACCUAGAGGCUUUGUAAGCAUGUAUUAAACAACACUUGUUUGAUCUGAAUAAUUUGUUAAAUAAAUGUAACACAAUUUGUAAUCUGAUGUUAUAUUUUGAUGAAUUGUGAACAAAAUAAUACAUCGAAGAAACUAA